This 488-nucleotide ribosomal RNA is filed under the name uncultured Corynebacterium sp. RNAcentral describes it as "partial 16S ribosomal RNA". The record is from RNAcentral. Lineage: Bacteria; Bacillati; Actinomycetota; Actinomycetes; Mycobacteriales; Corynebacteriaceae.
CACGUAGUUAGCCGGUGCUUCUUCUCCAGGUACCGUCACAAAAACGCUUCGUCCCUAGCGAAAGGAGUUUACAACCCGAAGGCCGUCAUCCCCCACGCGGCGUCGCUGCAUCAGGCUUGCGCCCAUUGUGCAAUAUUCCCCACUGCUGCCUCCCGUAGGAGUCUGGGCCGUAUCUCAGUCCCAAUGUGGCCGUACACCCUCUCAGGCCGGCUACCCGUCGACGCCUUGGUAGGCCAUUACCCCACCAACAAGCUGAUAGGCCGCGAGCUCAUCCCACACCGAAAAAACUUUCCACAAUGGCAUCCAAACCAUCGUCCUAUCCGGUAUUAGACCCAGUUUCCCAGGCUUAUCCCGAAGUGCAGGGCAGAUCACCCACGUGUUACUCACCCGUUCGCCACUCGAGUACCCAAGCAAGCUUGGGCCUUUCCGUUCGACUUGCAUGUGUUAAGCACGCCGCCAGCGUUCAUCCUGAGCCAGGAUCAAACUCU